RNAcentral lists this transfer RNA (99 nucleotides) under Dentipellis sp. KUC8613. It matches the Rfam family "tRNA". From Rfam's summary of the family: Transfer RNA (tRNA) molecules are approximately 80 nucleotides in length. The record is from Rfam by way of RNAcentral. Lineage: Eukaryota; Fungi; Basidiomycota; Agaricomycetes; Russulales; Hericiaceae.
GCCCGCCUAGCUCAAUCGGAUAGAGCGUCAGACUCUUAGGCGGGUUGAUUCCACCUGUUCGGAAUCUGAAGGCUGCGAGUUCGACCCUCGCGGUGGGCU